This 73-nucleotide transfer RNA is filed under the name Marmota monax (woodchuck). Its description in RNAcentral is "tRNA.Ala". Lineage: Eukaryota; Metazoa; Chordata; Mammalia; Rodentia; Sciuridae. The record is from RNAcentral.
UGGAGAUAUAGCUCAGUGGCAGAGUGUCUACAUAGCAUACAUAAAGUCCUGGGUUCUAUCCCCAGUACUGAAA